UCCCUGAGGGCAGGCUCCUAGCAGCAUGGU
Molecule: non-coding RNA, 30 nt
Filed under: Homo sapiens (human)
Lineage: Eukaryota; Metazoa; Chordata; Mammalia; Primates; Hominidae
Source: RNAcentral